This 77-nucleotide transfer RNA is filed under the name Kaistia dalseonensis. Its description in RNAcentral is "tRNA-Asp". It matches the Rfam family "tRNA". Rfam says of the family: Transfer RNA (tRNA) molecules are approximately 80 nucleotides in length. Their secondary structure includes four short double-helical elements and three loops (D, anti-codon, and T loops). RNAcentral also lists the same sequence under 25 other names. Lineage: Bacteria; Pseudomonadati; Pseudomonadota; Alphaproteobacteria; Hyphomicrobiales; Kaistiaceae. The record is from RNAcentral.
GGGGGUGUAGCUCAGUUGGUUAGAGCGUCGGCCUGUCACGCCGAAGGUCGCGGGUUCGAGCCCCGUCACUCCCGCCA